This 495-nucleotide ribosomal RNA is filed under the name uncultured bacterium. RNAcentral's name for it is "partial 16S ribosomal RNA". It matches the Rfam family "Bacterial small subunit ribosomal RNA", at positions 28 to 507 of the family's 1533-position model. The record is from RNAcentral.
GACGAACGCUGGCGGCGUGCCUAAUACAUGCAAGUAGAACGCUGAAGGAGGAGCUUGCUUCUCCGGAUGAGUUGCGAACGGGUGAGUAACGCGUAGGUAACCUGCCUGGUAGCGGGGGAUAACUAUUGGAAACGAUAGCUAAUACCGCAUAACAGUAGAUGUUGCAUGACAUUUGCUUAAAAGGUGCAAUUGCAUCACUACCAGAUGGACCUGCGUUAUAUUAGCUAGUUGGUGAGGUAGCGGCUCACCAAGGCGACGAUACAUAGCCGACCUGAGAGGGUGAUCGGCCACACUGGGACUGAGACACGGCCCAGACUCCUACGGGAGGCAGCAGUAGGGAAUCUUCGGCAAUGGACGGAAGUCUGACCGAGCAACGCCGCGUGAGUGAAGAAGGUUUUCGGAUCGUAAAGCUCUGUUGUAAGAGAAGAACGAGUGUGAGAGUGGAAAGUUCACACUGUGACGGUAUCUUACCAGAAAGGGACGGCUAACUACGUG